CAAUAAUAAUAUAUGAAAAGUAGUGAUAAUUGGUCCCUAACAUGGCCUAAAUGCUUUAAUGUAUCAAGUGUGAAGGAGACUGGUGGAGAGUCUAUUAAAUAUACCUACGCGAGCGAUCCUGAGUCUGAUAUGGACAAGACACCCGAGCUUUUUUAACCUGGAAUCAAAGACUGUGGAUCUCUUGGCAGAGAUAAUUUGUUUCUUCGGCAUGAGUGGC
This 217-nucleotide long non-coding RNA is filed under the name Lathyrus oleraceus (garden pea). RNAcentral describes it as "Pisum sativum (pea) long non-coding RNA (PSAT_LNC024580)". The record is from RNAcentral. Lineage: Eukaryota; Viridiplantae; Streptophyta; Magnoliopsida; Fabales; Fabaceae.